Molecule: ribosomal RNA, 427 nt
Filed under: uncultured bacterium
Lineage: Bacteria
Description: partial 16S ribosomal RNA
Rfam family: Bacterial small subunit ribosomal RNA
Source: RNAcentral
UGGGGAAUAUUGCACAAUGGGCGCAAGCCUGAUGCAGCCAUGCCGCGUGUAUGAAGAAGGCCUUCGGGUUGUAAAGUACUUUCAGCGAGGAGGAAGGCGUUGUGGUUAAUAACCGCAGCGAUUGACGUUACUCGCAGAAGAAGCACCGGCUAACUCCGUGCCAGCAGCCGCGGUAAUACGGAGGGUGCAAGCGUUAAUCGGAAUGACUGGGCGUAAAGCGCACGCAGGCGGUCUGUCAAGUCGGAUGUGAAAUCCCCGGGCUCAACCUGGGAACUGCAUCCGAAACUGGCAGGCUAGAGUCUUGUAGAGGGGGGUAGAAUUCCAGGUGUAGCGGUGAAAUGCGUAGAGAUCUGGAGGAAUACCGGUGGCGAAGGCGGCCCCCUGGACAAAGACUGACGCUCAGGUGCGAAAGCGUGGGGAGCAAACA